GAUGAACGCUGGCGGCGUGCUUAACACAUGCAAGUCGAACGGAAAGGCCCAAGCUUGCUUGGGUACUCGAGUGGCGAACGGGUGAGUAACCCGUGGGUGAUCUGCCCUGCACUUCGGGAUAAGCCUGGGAAACUGGGUCUAAUACCGGAUAGGACCACUUCUUGGAUGUUGUGGUGGAAAGUUUUUUCGGUGUGGGAUGAGCUCGCGGCCUAUCAGCUUGUUGGUGGGGUAAUGGCCUACCAAGGCGUCGACGGGUAGCCGGCCUGAGAGGGUGUACGGCCACAUUGGGACUGAGAUACGGCCCAGACUCCUACGGGAGGCAGCAGUGGGGUAUAUUGCACAAUGGGCGCAAGCCUGAUGCAGCGACGCCGCGUGGGGGAUGACGGCCUUCGGGUUGUAAACUCCUUUCGCUAGGGACGAAGCGUUUUGUGACGGUACCUGGAGAAGAAGCACCGGCUAACUACGUG
RNAcentral lists this ribosomal RNA (467 nucleotides) under uncultured bacterium. RNAcentral describes it as "partial 16S ribosomal RNA". It matches the Rfam family "Bacterial small subunit ribosomal RNA", at positions 28 to 507 of the family's 1533-position model. The record is from RNAcentral.